This 360-nucleotide ribosomal RNA is filed under the name Triticum aestivum (bread wheat). RNAcentral's name for it is "partial small subunit ribosomal RNA". Lineage: Eukaryota; Viridiplantae; Streptophyta; Magnoliopsida; Poales; Poaceae. The record is from RNAcentral.
AUGGAUGGUCAUAGUGCUAGCUUGGAGGAAAUAGAAGAAUAUCACAUGAUGGUUAGUCAGAUGUUUGCAAGCGAGAAGCAAGGUUACGAGCACUACAACAGAUAUGCAAGAGCAAAAGGUUUUAGUGUCAGAUUGGAUGACAAGGAGUACGUGAAGGGCACCAGAGAGGUGAAAGCAAGACAUUUCUGCUGCUCUAAAGAAGGGCACCGAUUGGAGAAGUACUUUCAAGCGACUGACCAAAAAAGGGAGCCACGGGCGCUGACCCGUUGUGGUUGCAAAGCUAUGCUUGAGAUCCAACAUGAUGCAGGCAGGGUCAGUGGUUUGUUAAGAAGUUUGUUGAUGUCCAUAACCACCCGCUAG